RNAcentral lists this transfer RNA (67 nucleotides) under Anoplodactylus australis. RNAcentral describes it as "tRNA-Ser". Lineage: Eukaryota; Metazoa; Arthropoda; Pycnogonida; Pantopoda; Phoxichilidiidae. The record is from RNAcentral.
GGCUGCUUAGCUAUAUUUUAAAGCUUUUACUUUGAAAGUAAAAAAAAGACUUACUGUCUAGCAGCCC